ACGGGAGGCAGCAGUGGGGAAUAUUGCACAAUGGGGGAAACCCUGAUGCAGCGACGCCGCGUGAGUGAGGAAGUUAUUCGUAAUGUAAAGCUCUAUCAGCAGGGAAGAAAAUGACGGUACCUGACCAAGAAGCCCCGGCUAACUACGUGCCAGCAGCCGCGGUAAUACGUAGGGGGCAAGCGUUAUCCGGAUUUACUGGGUGUAAAGGGAGCGUAGACGGCUUUGCAAGUCUGAUGUGAAAGGCGGGGGCUCAACCCCUGGACUGCAUUGGAAACUGCGGGGCUCGAGUGCCGGAGGGGUAAGCGGAAUUCCUAGUGUAGCGGUGAAAUGCGUAGAUAUUAGGAGGAACACCAGUGGCGAAGGCGGCUUACUGGACGGUAACUGACGUUGAGGCUCGAAAGCGUGGGGAGCAAACAGGAUUAGAUACCCUGGUA
This 434-nucleotide ribosomal RNA is filed under the name uncultured Lachnospiraceae bacterium. RNAcentral's name for it is "bacterial SSU rRNA". It matches the Rfam family "Bacterial small subunit ribosomal RNA", at positions 341 to 792 of the family's 1533-position model. Lineage: Bacteria; Bacillati; Bacillota; Clostridia; Lachnospirales; Lachnospiraceae. The record is from RNAcentral.